RNA transcript from Cercocebus atys (sooty mangabey), 2034 nucleotides. It is a transcript of the gene named alcohol dehydrogenase 1C, with no coding region annotated. The transcript has 10 exons. NCBI's taxonomy places the organism in Eukaryota, Metazoa, Chordata, Mammalia, Primates, Cercopithecidae. The record is from RefSeq and is a predicted model, not a curated record.
GCUAUUAUUUGGGGUGGAUAGCUGACUGUCUUACUCUAACUCUGUUCUGCCCCACGCCUUUUUUUUAGUGGAAAGAAUAUGGGCAUCAGACAGAUGUGACUUGGGAUUCUGCCUCUGCCAUUUACUAGCUUUGUGACACCUUUGAAGAUGAUGUGGCUUUCUACACCUGCAUAACCUCAACCCUCUGGUUUUCACUGAUUGCUUCACAGCCAGACAUCAGACCCAGUCUGAGAAGAAUAUGAUGGGUGCGGCUUAAAAACCUAGAUCACGUGUGGUGUUGGAAUUGGGUGUUAUACGAGCAAACAAAAUAAAUACUUGCACAAUAUACCUGCUUUGUGCACUCAAGCAGAGAAGAGAUCCACAAGUACUCACCAGUCUCCUGUUCUGCAAAGAAGACAGAAUCAACAUGAGCACUGCAGGAAAAGUAAUCAAAUGCAAAGCAGCUGUGCUAUGGGAGGUAAAGAAACCCUUUUCCAUUGAGGAGGUGGAGGUUGCACCUCCUAAGGCUCAUGAAGUUCGCAUUAAGAUGGUGGCCGUAGGAAUCUGUCGAUCAGAUGACCACGUGGUUAGUGGUACCCUAGUGACCCCUCUUCCUGCGAUUUUAGGCCACGAGGCAGCUGGCAUCGUGGAGAGUGUUGGAGAAGGGGUGACUACAGUCAAACCAGGUGAUAAAGUCAUCCCACUCUUUACUCCUCAGUGUGGAAAAUGCAGAGUUUGUAAAAACCCAGAAAGCAACUACUGCUUCAAAAAUGAUCUGAGCAAUCCUCGGGGGACCAUGCAGGAUGGCACCAGGAGAUUCACCUGCAGGGGGAAGCCCAUCCACCACUUCCUCGGCAUCAGCACCUUCUCCCAGUACACGGUGGUGGAUGAGAAUGCAGUGGCCAAAAUUGAUGCAGCUUCACCCCUGGAGAAAGUCUGCCUCAUUGGCUGUGGAUUUUCGACUGGCUAUGGGUCUGCAGUCAAAGUUGCCAAGGUCACCCCAGGCUCUACCUGUGCUGUGUUUGGCCUGGGAGGGGUCGGCCUAUCUGCUGUUAUGGGCUGUAAAGCAGCUGGAGCAGCCAGAAUCAUUGCGGUGGACAUCAACAAGGACAAAUUUGCAAAGGCCAAAGAGUUGGGUGCCACUGAAUGCAUCAACCCUCAAGACUACAAGAAACCCAUGCAGGAGGUGCUAAAGGAAAUGACUGAUGGAGGUGUGGAUUUUUCGUUUGAAGUCAUCGGUCGGCUUGACACCAUGAUGGCUUCCCUGUUAUGUUGUCAUGAGGCAUGUGGCACAAGCGUCAUCGUAGGGGUACCUCCUGAUUCCCAGAACCUCUCAAUAAACCCUGUGCUGCUACUGACUGGACGCACCUGGAAAGGAGCUAUUUUUGGAGGCUUUAAGAGUAAAGAAUCUGUCCCCAAGCUUGUGUCUGACUUUAUGGCUAAGAAGUUUUCACUGGAUGCAUUAAUAACAAAUGUCUUACCUUUUGAAAAAAUAAAUGAAGGAUUUGACCUGCUUCGCUCUGGAAAGAGGUAGAUUUUAAGUUGCUUUUUUGUUAUUGUUUUGCUUUGUAUUCUACAGUAGUGGGGUGUCUAGCAGAGAAUGUAAACGUGGAAGGAUGAGAAAAAAUUAGUGCCUUGGUUUUCCAUUGCCAGUUCAAUCUUUGCAUGGAGCACAUGUAAGGUAAUAUGGUGAGAAGCUAAAAACCGUUACUUUACAUUUCCUAUUCUGCUGAAGUGAAAUUAUGUUGAUUACCCCAUAUCUGAAUGAUUAGAGUCACUCAGCCUUCUUUAAAAAAUAACACUCACCUUGGCCCCCACCCCCCAAAAAAUAAGUUUUAACAACCAUAAUUAUAACAUGGAUUCACUGACACCUCUGCCUGUCAUCUAAAUAAGUGUGACAUCUAAUGGUUGUAUAUUAAAAUUAUUUUCAGGACAUCCUCAGGAUAUUCAUUAUGGGAGUAGGUGGAACUACAUUAGGAUUGAUUUCUAAGUAGAUAUUACUAGAUUUUCCUUUUUCUUUUCUUUUUUCUUUUUUUUUUUUCUAUUUUUCUUUUU